UUCCGAUAAAGGCAAACCAAUUCCGAAAGGGUGGGACGCAAAACCAAAGGCCUAAUUUGGUAAUAAAAUACCAAUAAGGCGGCUGGGUUGCCGAA
Molecule: non-coding RNA, 95 nt
Filed under: Candidatus Omnitrophota bacterium
Lineage: Bacteria; Pseudomonadati; Candidatus Omnitrophota
Description: Omnitrophica bacterium c-di-GMP sequence
Rfam family: c-di-GMP-I riboswitch aptamer
About the family: GEMM was predicted in a large-scale screen for bacterial structured RNA regulatory elements. Genes associated with GEMM are involved in a diverse array of functions, including chemotaxis regulation, signal transduction, secretion and chitin.
Source: RNAcentral